GUGUUGGCGACCUCUUGAGGCAAAAAAGCACUCGAAAGACUCAUACUAUACCUAUGCGUGCUGGAACGGUGUUCAUCUGUCUGGAGGUUAACCCGAGCGAUUUGAGGUUCUGGCGCAAUGGCAGAAAAGGAGCUUGCGCGGGUGAGGAGUAAGUUUGUUGAAAAGAUCUCCAAAGCUCUUCUUGACCAGCUCCUGGAUGACAUUUUGGAGGAUGGCAUCUUGAAUGAUGGAGAGAGAGAGUCAAUAGUUGAGGAGAACAAGAACCGAGCCGACAAGGCGCGCUGCCUCAUUGACACUGUGAGGAAAAAAGGAGAUCAAGCCAGCAACAAGCUGAUUUGUCACCUUCAAAGAAGAGAUCCUAUGCUUUUCGCUGAGCUGGGUCUGACUGUCUGACCAGGAGGAAACCAAAACCUCGUGAACACUCAUCCCUACUGCCGAGACUUUUUGAAAUAAAGAAAUGUGGAGUGAACAUGCUCAUCUUUCAUCAUCAUUACUUUUCAAAGCAAUAACAUGAAUUAUCACAUCUAAAGAUACAAUACUGUAUCUUAAUUAUUUUUUUACACUUUUUUUUUAGCACUAUUAUAUGAUCCUUUUAUAUUUUGCCAACAUGACAAAUCUCAAAUGUCCAUGAAAAUAAAACUGUAAUGAUUCCAGGUUCUUCUGUACGUUAUUUUGUGUAGGUGAUGGAUGAGAAUUACAGAAAUUACAAUCUGUUUACAUUAAGAUCAUUUUAUAAUCUAGUUCAAUUAAAUCUCAAUGACAGUAAA
Molecule: long non-coding RNA, 767 nt
Organism: Oreochromis niloticus (Nile tilapia)
Lineage: Eukaryota; Metazoa; Chordata; Actinopteri; Cichliformes; Cichlidae
Exons: 3
Source: RefSeq, a predicted model, not a curated record